Molecule: small nucleolar RNA, 86 nt
Organism: Gossypium raimondii (Peruvian cotton)
Lineage: Eukaryota; Viridiplantae; Streptophyta; Magnoliopsida; Malvales; Malvaceae
Rfam family: small nucleolar RNA snoR117
Source: Rfam
UGCCUGUGAUGUUCUAACAUUUGUCCGUACCAUCUGAGAAUAUUUUUUCCCUGAUGUAUUCUCUUCAAGUUUUAUUUCUGAGGCAU